GCUGGGUGUGGUGCCGCAAGCCUGUAAUCCCAGUGACUUGGGAGGCUGAGGCAGGAGAAUCACAAGUGCAAAGCCAGCCUCAGCAACUUAGCAAGGCGCUAAGCAACUUAGUGAGACUCUGUCUCUA
RNAcentral lists this small RNA (127 nucleotides) under Marmota monax (woodchuck). The record is from RNAcentral. Lineage: Eukaryota; Metazoa; Chordata; Mammalia; Rodentia; Sciuridae.